GCAUCUGUGGUUUAUUGGUAGAAUGCUCGCCAGCCACGCGGAGGACCCGGGUUCGAUUCCCGGCCGAUGCA
Parelaphostrongylus tenuis is the source of this 71-nucleotide non-coding RNA. NCBI's taxonomy places the organism in Eukaryota, Metazoa, Nematoda, Chromadorea, Rhabditida, Metastrongylidae. The record is from the annotation of a GenBank genome assembly.